This 37-nucleotide ribosomal RNA is filed under the name Paraleonurus japonicus (Chinese motherwort). RNAcentral describes it as "Leonurus japonicus partial 28S ribosomal RNA". The record is from RNAcentral. Lineage: Eukaryota; Viridiplantae; Streptophyta; Magnoliopsida; Lamiales; Lamiaceae. RNAcentral also lists the same sequence under 1 other name.
CGACCCCAGGUCAGGCGGGAUCACCCGCUGAGUUUAA